Non-coding RNA from Bos taurus (domestic cattle), 73 nucleotides. The record is from Rfam. Lineage: Eukaryota; Metazoa; Chordata; Mammalia; Artiodactyla; Bovidae.
UCCCUGGUGGUCCAGUGGCUAAGACUCUGAGCUCACAAUGCAGGGGGUCCGGGUUCCAGCCCUGGUUGGGGAA